CGUCAUGUGUGGGGAAUUCCCCUUAAUAGUAUUACGUCAUUAUGUAAUUUCCUCAUCUAAAAAUACAUGAUUCUGGAACAGGCUCUGGAAUGUUCUGUGUAGGAGGCGAGGUUUGACUUCAAUCUGGGUGACUCAUGUUCUUUCAUUAAUUGCAUCACCUUAAAAUUAUUAAAAUGAUGUAAUUUAUGAUACUAAUCAAACAAGAGCGUGUCCAUUUCCCUGUGAACCAGGGUUUUUCUGUGUAAAAUAUCUUGAAUCCUGUGAGAGUUGCGAGAUAUUUUGCAAUCCAGACAACCAAUAUGCAGAGAAAUGUCCUGAAAGUUGCCUUGUUGCAUCAUCGUCACCUUCACCAGAAAUUGGCAUAACUACAAAGAGAGAUGUAACAAACACAAACAAACCAAGCCUGGCUCCAAUUAGGACAGAUGGCAAACAGAAAAACAAUGUGAUAAUAAUUGUAUGUGUUACUGUUGGAUUUUUUAUUGCAAUUUCCUUGAUAUUUCUUAUAAUUCAUCUGCUUAAAAAAUAUUGUGGAAAGCAAACACAUUAUCCGAUCCAGGUACAAACAGAUCCAGUGGUAGAAUCCAAUGAACAGGAGCUGGUUUUGGUGUAAAAGUAUAGAAAGAGAAAAUGUCAGGGUAUUUGAAGAGCACUUCCAUUAUAAUUAUGCUAAUUGACAACAAAAGGCAGUGUGAUUACUCAAAGUAACUCAUUUUAGCAUUCUCUGUCCAUCAGAAAUUAAGUGAAUCCUUUGCGAGGAUAGAUGAAAGCGUAUGCCACUCGUGUCAGUCCAUGGUCAGCUUGAAGAUUCUCGUAAUGCAUAAUGAGACCGCGGAAAUAGGACGGAUGGCGGGCACGUGCUGCGCCCGGCAGUCACCAGCUGACGCGUUUCUACACACAUUGUGACUAUUCUAAUCUUCAAUAUUUAGGGCCAGUAUAUAUUUGGGCAUUAGCAAACAAUUCUAGCCAUAUUUCCAAGAUCAAUUUCCUGGCAAUAUGAAUGGCUUUCUAUUGAAAGUGCUUUAUACAGAAAAACCCUCCGAAGAAGACAUGCAUUUUUUAUACUGAGUUUCAGUCUUUCUUGUCUUCCAAUCUCAGAGUCCUGGUUUCAAAUCCUGUUACAGCAAAGGAUUUUUUUUUUCUCACAACUAAAAAACAUCUCUAAUCCCUAAGCUACGUAGUAAGACUUUUGCUGAUAAAGAAUCACAUUAUUUCAGUAUGGAACUUUCAAUUGCACGACAGUAGGAAGUAGAAUGAAAUGACGUCACAAAUAUGUCAAAAUAUGAACAUUGGGUUCUCUUUGCCGCAAUGAUUCUGGAAUGCAAAUUGGCUGAAUGUACGCUGUACAGAAAACGUAGGACCUUUACACAUGAGUGAAUCCGUUCUAGUGUUGCAUUGCUUAGUGCAAAUCGAAAUCUACUUUUAAAUGAGGACUCCUACUGUAUAUAUCAGCUAACCUUCUACGAUAUGCUGGGAAGAGUUAUCCUCUAUAAAUAUGGUUUUAAAAAAUCUCUGUGCCUAUAUAUAUUUUGUACUAACUAAAUGUCACACAAGUCUUGUCAUCGAUUGUGAAUGUUAUAAUGUUUAAUAUGUUUUUGUUGUCUAGGUACAGUACAACACUUAUUGAGUAGUUCUUCUUCCAUCCCUAGUGCAGAUUUGAUGUGCCAGCUCAUAGGAACAUUCCACUACUCAAAAACAGACCAAUUGUUUUUAAUAGUAAAAUUGAAAAGAAAAUAUCUCACUGUACAUAUUUAUGAGCAAUGACCAUUGAUUUAGGGAAACAGAAUUGUGGUUAGGAAACCUACUUAAGUAGCAUAAAACCUCUGAGCAGUACUUAAUGUAUUGUCUAAUCUUUGUGUUAUUUGUUUCUUUGACCAAAAUCCUGCUGAUACUCAUGUUACUUGUAUCAGUGUGUAGAACACAUUACUUGUCUUUCAGCUGCUGGAAAGUCAAAUUUAGGCAAAGUACAUAAUAGCACUAACAGUAAAAAAAAUUAUGUACAUACAGAUGCGACUAUAUCUCUGUGUCAGGCUGUCCACUGUAUUGACCAUUUCACUUACAUUAUUUUUUGUGUAUGCAGUGUUUUUUUGUAUGACAUUGCAAAGUGAUGUACCUAGGCUUACAGAUCUCUUCUCGCAAUCAUUGGAGGGCAAUUUUUAAAUUUUGUUUUGUCAAGCGAGUCCCUGUUAUCCCAAAUAUUGUUUAUUAACUUGUGUCAUUAUUAUCAAUAUUCAUUUUUUAAAUGUUGUUUUGUUUUAAUUAAAUUUAUUUGUGUUUACUUUCCAUUUUAUACGUUAUUUUAUCCUAAAUGAUUUACUUGUUAUAGUACUUUAUAGUACUUGUGGUAGUGUACAUAUUUCUGGAGAAAAAAAAACCAGUUUUAUUGUUGAAAAUAUGGUAAGGUUUCAUAUAGUAGAUUGUUCUAAUCAUAUUCAAGAACAUAAUGUAUUCAUAUCAAUGAAUCAGUGGUAUAAUUUAUUUUAUUUUAUUCAAUUGUCAACCCACAGAGAUAAAACCCUCCGCUAACAGGUUGGAGAAAAAACAUACAUAUACAAGUAAACAAAAUAAAUGGUACAAACAUCAAACAAUCUUAAUUUUAAGCUUAAACAAGGAUAAACUAUCAUAAAAAAUAUCAAUUUCAUCUUUAUAUGAGUAGGAAGGAGAUCAUUGCAAGACUGAAUAAAAGACAUGUUUCCAUUCUUUUUUAAGUUCAAUAAUUAAUGUAUGUAAAUUUAACAAUACAGCAAUAAGUGUUCAUGCUUUUUUUGCCUUGAAUUAGAAUGCAUGUCUGUUGCAGUGGAAUUUGUGUAUAUUGGUGGUUAAGAUGUCUCAUUCCCAUGCAUACCUUGCAAAUACUGUAGAAGACAUUUUUUUUUUCAUAAGGCCUAUGACUGAAACCAAUAAUCCACAAGGGAUGCAUGAACUAUCACAUAGUUCCGUUCUAUUUCUGUUCUGUUUAUGUUGUAAUAACGUUAGCAAUUGUCUCUUGCGGGAUUUAAGCGUGCAACCUUUCACUGUCAAAGCCAGUAUCAUACCAUUAGACCAUCUCCAGACACCUCUCAUACAACUGUCUUUUGCUAACAAGCUAUUACCAUAUUUAGCUAUUGGGCCUAUCUAUGUUUUGGUCGCAGCUGGGAAAUCAGUAAAUAAUAUUCAAAUUUUGCUGUAUGCACUGUAAACACAAUAUUAAAAAUUAGUAAUAUAAAAACAUCAGUGGUUGACAAUAUUUGAUGUUUUAAACUUAUUAGGAUGUUUUAAACUUAUCUUCAACAAAAUUUCCCCUUCCAGUUGUAAGAAAAAGUGUCUUGUGUGAUUCGAACCUGCAACCUCUCACUAUCAAGGCCAGUGUCAUUCAUUAUGCUAGAACACAGAGACAGUACUGUAAAUAAUCUUUAAAUUCGGUUUAUUGUGAGCACCAUCAAUGCAAAAACGAAACAACACUAAAAGCUGCAUUGACAGUACAUACACCAGAAUUUGUCAGAUGGUUUACGUAGGUGUGAUAUGUUGUAUUCCAGAAAGGCCUAUGCAAAACAUUGUAUAUUAUGUAGGUGUUUCUUCAUAUCAAAUUUAUUAUGUACUGUUACAGGAUGUUUUUAAAUACUGUGUAUAAAAAUAGUAUAGCCUAUAUAUAAUCUCUUUGGAAAUUCUUGUUUAAGAUGAAUAUAUUUGACCAUGUACAGUA
This is a long non-coding RNA of Anneissia japonica, 3679 nucleotides long. RefSeq lists it as uncharacterized. The record is from RefSeq and is a predicted model, not a curated record. The transcript has 6 exons. NCBI's taxonomy places the organism in Eukaryota, Metazoa, Echinodermata, Crinoidea, Comatulida, Comatulidae.